GAUGAAGAACGUAGCGAAAUGCGAUAAGUAAUGUGAAUUGCAGAAUUCAGUGAAUCAUCGAAUCUUUGAACGCACCUUGCGCCCUUUGGCCAUUCCGAAGGGCAUGCCUGUUUGAGUAUCAUGAACACCUCAACUCUUUAUGGUUUUCCAUGAUGAGCUUGGACUCUGGGGGUUUUGCUGGCUCACAGUCGGCUCCUCUAAAAUGAAUCAGCUUACCAGUGUUUGGUGGGUAUCAUGGGUGUGAUAACUAUCUACGCUUGUGGUUUUUCCACCAGGUAACCUUCAGCAGUGGAGGUUCGCUGGAGCUCAUAGAUGUCUCUCCUCAGUGAGGACAGCUCUUUGAACGUUUGAUCUCAAAUCAGGUAGGACUACCCGCUGAACUUAAGCAUAUCAAUAAGCGGAGGA
This 405-nucleotide unclassified non-coding RNA is filed under the name soil metagenome. RNAcentral describes it as "partial contains 5.8S ribosomal RNA, internal transcribed spacer 2, and large subunit ribosomal RNA". The stretch from base 1 to 121 matches the Rfam family "5.8S ribosomal RNA", at positions 35 to 154 of the family's 154-position model. The record is from RNAcentral.